Molecule: ribosomal RNA, 492 nt
Filed under: uncultured bacterium
Lineage: Bacteria
Description: partial 16S ribosomal RNA
Rfam family: Bacterial small subunit ribosomal RNA
Source: RNAcentral
AGUGAACGCUGGCGGUAGGCCUAACACAUGCCAGUCGAACGGCAGCACAGUAAGAGCUUGCUCUUACGGGUGGCGAGUGGCGGACGGGUGAGGAAUACAUCGGAAUCUACUUUUUCGUGGGGGAUAACGUAGGGAAACUUACGCUAAUACCGCAUACGACCUACGGGUGAAAGCAGGGGAUCUUCGGACCUUGCGCGAUUGAAUGAGCCGAUGUCGGAUUAGCUAGUUGGCGGGGUAAAGGCCCACCAAGGCGACGAUCCGUAGCUGGUCUGAGAGGAUAAUCAGCCACACUGGAACUGAGACACGGUCCAGACUCCUACGGGAGGCAGCAGUGGGGAAUAUUGGACAAUGGGCGCAAGCCUGAUCCAGCCAUACCGCGUGGGUGAAGAAGGCCUUCGGGUUGUAAAGCCCUUUUGUUGGGAAAGAAAGGCAGCAGGUUAAUACCCCGCUGUUCUGACGGUACCCAAAGAAUAAGCACCGGCUAACUUCGUG